ACUUAUCUGGCUAAUUUUAUAGAUUAUAUUUUGAUUAGACCACUUAGUGAUUUGAGUUAAUCCAUGCCAUUAAGGUUGAUCAGUGUGACUGAUCUUGGUGCUAUUUUCAAUCGGCAUAUCACUAAUCCAAUUCAAUGACUUGGUGAAGUUAAUGGAAGGAUUGUGGUUUACUGGUUGAUCUCUUCUCUUAUCUAAAUUCAUAAA
RNAcentral lists this long non-coding RNA (204 nucleotides) under Elaeis guineensis (African oil palm). Its description in RNAcentral is "long non-coding RNA (EGUI_LNC020352)". The record is from RNAcentral. Lineage: Eukaryota; Viridiplantae; Streptophyta; Magnoliopsida; Arecales; Arecaceae.